Molecule: ribosomal RNA, 497 nt
Filed under: uncultured bacterium
Lineage: Bacteria
Description: partial 16S ribosomal RNA
Rfam family: Bacterial small subunit ribosomal RNA
Source: RNAcentral
GAUGAACGCUGGCGGCGUGCCUAUUACAUGCAAGUCGAGCGAACAGAUAAGGAGCUUGCUCCUUUGACGUUAGCGGCGGACGGGUGAGUAACACGUGGAUAACCUACCUAUAAGACUGGGAUAACUUCGGGAAACCGGAGCUAAUACCGGAUAACAUAUUGAACCGCAUGGUUCAAUAGUGAAAGGCGGCUUUGCUGUCACUUAUAGAUGGAUCCGCGCCGUAUUAGCUAGUUGGUAAGGUAACGGCUUACCAAGGCAACGAUACGUAGCCGACCUGAGAGGGUGAUCGGCCACACUGGAACUGAGACACGGUCCAGACUCCUACGGGAGGCAGCAGUAGGGAAUCUUCCGCAAUGGGCGAAAGCCUGACGGAGCAACGCCGCGUGAGUGAUGAAGGUCUUCGGAUCGUAAAACUCUGUUAUCAGGGAAGAACAAAUGUGUAAGUAACUGUGCACAUCUUGACGGUACCUGAUCAGAAAGCCACGGCUAACUACGUG